This 508-nucleotide ribosomal RNA is filed under the name uncultured bacterium. Its description in RNAcentral is "partial 16S ribosomal RNA". It matches the Rfam family "Bacterial small subunit ribosomal RNA", at positions 28 to 507 of the family's 1533-position model. The record is from RNAcentral.
GACGAACGCUGGCGGCGUGCCUAAUACAUGCAAGUCGAACGCUUCUUUCCUCCCGAGUGCUUGCACUCAAUUGGAAAGAGGAGUGGCGGACGGGUGAGUAACACGUGGGUAACCUACCCAUCAGAGGGGGAUAACACUUGGAAACAGGUGCUAAUACCGCAUAACAGUUUAUGCCGCAUGGCAUAAGAGUGAAAGGCGCUUUCGGGUGUCGUUGAUGGAUGGACCCGCGGUGCAUUAGCUAGUUGGUGAGGUAACGGCUCGCCAAGGCCACGAUGCAUAGCCGACCUGAGAGGGUGAUCGGCCACACUGGGACUGAGACACGGCCCAGACUCCUACGGGAGGCAGCAGUAGGGAAUCUUCGGCAAUGGACGAAAGUCUGACCGAGCAACGCCGCGUGAGUGAAGAAGGUUUUCGGAUCGUAAAACUCUGUUGUUAGAGAAGAACAAGGACGUUAGUAACUGAACGUCCCCUGACGGUAUCUAACCAGAAAGCCACGGCUAACUACGUG